Molecule: ribosomal RNA, 253 nt
Filed under: uncultured bacterium
Lineage: Bacteria
Description: partial 16S ribosomal RNA
Rfam family: Bacterial small subunit ribosomal RNA
Source: RNAcentral
UACGUAGGGCGCAAGCGUUAUCCGGAAUUAUUGGGCGUAAAGAGCUCGUAGGCGGUUUGUCGCGUCUGUCGUGAAAUCCCGAGGCUUAACCUUGGGUCUGCGGUGGGUACGGGCAGGCUAGAGUGAUGUAGGGGAGACUGGAAUUCCUGGUGUAGCGGUGAAAUGCGCAGAUAUCAGGAGGAACACCGAUGGCGAAGGCAGGUCUCUGGGCAUUAACUGACGCUGAGGAGCGAAAGCAUGGGGAUCAAACAGG